Molecule: ribosomal RNA, 118 nt
Filed under: Pteropus alecto (black flying fox)
Lineage: Eukaryota; Metazoa; Chordata; Mammalia; Chiroptera; Pteropodidae
Source: RNAcentral
UUCUACGGCCAUGCUACUCUGAACAAGCCCGAUCCCGUCUGAUCUCAGAAGCUCAGCAGGGUUGGGCCGGUUAGUACUUGGAUGGGAGACCACCUAGACCGACCAGGUGCUGUAGGUG